RNAcentral lists this microRNA precursor (78 nucleotides) under Schistosoma mattheei. RNAcentral describes it as "mir-3492 microRNA precursor family". It matches the Rfam family "mir-3492 microRNA precursor family". The record is from Rfam by way of RNAcentral. Lineage: Eukaryota; Metazoa; Platyhelminthes; Trematoda; Strigeidida; Schistosomatidae.
AGCUUUUUGAAUCCUUGCAGAGAUUUAGUCAGACACCAACCAAUUAAGAUUGAUCAGACCUUCAAGAUAAAUGAAGUU